This 162-nucleotide non-coding RNA is filed under the name Palpitomonas bilix. The record is from RNAcentral.
CUGAAGAGGAGGCAAAGGUGAGGGCAGAAGAGAGGAAGGGGAGGCGCCAGCUGAGGUUGGAAGAGAUCUCUGCUCUACCUAUGGAGGAGUGGAGUGUGGAGGAGUGCUCUGAUUUUUGCUACCUCUCUCUGCGUGAUUGGAGGUAUGAAGACGAGCAAGAUC